Molecule: long non-coding RNA, 218 nt
Filed under: Phoenix dactylifera (date palm)
Lineage: Eukaryota; Viridiplantae; Streptophyta; Magnoliopsida; Arecales; Arecaceae
Description: long non-coding RNA (PDAC_LNC008235)
Source: RNAcentral
AGGCGGUUAUAACCGCCUGACAGCCACGAUCACCACCACUUCUCCCUCCCCGCCGAGGCCUAUAAAAACCCAAAAACUAUUCUAAGAGAUUCUUCAUCCCUCACCCUCUCACUGCCUCUCAUUCCCUUUUCCUUCUGUGUAACGGAAACGGAUCGGGAGCGGUAGCGUCGGAGGAGGAGGGAUCUCCAACUCGUCACUGCACGGCGUCGCCGGAGCAG